GACGAACGCUGGCGGCGUGCCUAAUACAUGCAAGUCGAACGCACGAAGUUGAAGAGCUUGCUCUUUAACCAAGUGAGUGGCGGACGGGUGAGUAACACGUGGGUAACCUACCCAUUAGAGGGGGAUAACAUUCGGAAACGGAUGCUAAUACCGCAUAGUUUCAGGAAUCGCAUGAUUCGUGAAGAAAAGGUGGCUUCGGCUACCACUAAUGGAUGGACCCGCGGCGUAUUAGCUAGUUGGUGAGGUAAUGGCUCACCAAGGCAAUGAUACGUAGCCGACCUGAGAGGGUGAUCGGCCACACUGGGACUGAGACACGGCCCAGACUCCUACGGGAGGCAGCAGUAGGGAAUCUUCCGCAAUGGACGAAAGUCUGACGGAGCAACGCCGCGUGAGUGAAGAAGGUUUUCGGAUCGUAAAACUCUGUUGUUAAAGAAGAACAAGGAUGAGAGUAACUGCUCAUCCCCUGACGGUAUUUAACCAGAAAGCCACGGCUAACUACGUGCCAGCAGCCGCGGUAAUACGUAGGUGGCAAGCGUUGUCCGGAUUUAUUGGGCGUAAAGCGAGCGCAGGCGGUUCUUUAAGUCUGAUGUGAAAGCCCCCGGCUCAACCGGGGAGGGUCAUUGGAAACUGGAGAACUUGAGUGCAGAAGAGGAGAGUGGAAUUCCACGUGUAGCGGUGAAAUGCGUAGAUAUGUGGAGGAACACCAGUGGCGAAGGCGACUCUCUGGUCUGUAACUGACGCUGAGGCUCGAAAGCGUGGGGAGCAAACAGG
Molecule: ribosomal RNA, 771 nt
Filed under: uncultured Vagococcus sp.
Lineage: Bacteria; Bacillati; Bacillota; Bacilli; Lactobacillales; Enterococcaceae
Description: bacterial SSU rRNA
Rfam family: Bacterial small subunit ribosomal RNA
Source: RNAcentral